GCUCGUGCAGCACAGGGGGAAAAACAGCCGGCUUCAGAAAGUAAACUUAGGGAUGCACACUGACCUUGACUCUUCCCUGGACGUGGAACGGUAAUUUCGAAGGCGAGUUAACCUGAAAAGGCUGAAAAAAAUGCACAGGAGGCUUGAGAGCAGUCCAAUGUUGAGGAACUAUCCAGAACAGAUAGAGAUGGCACACGGGAGAAUAUGAGCCACACCUCUCAAAAGGUGCAUCCAAAUACAGUGAACGGUCGUCACUAGAAGUGUUUCUCUUUCUCUUUUGAUGCAGUCGCACACAUGCAGACAGUAUCGGUGUUGGCAAGGUAUCAGUGAUGGCACGGCGCCAAGCCGAGGCUAUCGAGUCAUGCUGUGCAAAAGCCCUGUAAUGCAAUCAGGGCGAGUGCAGCACUGUCACAAGGGACAACUGCUAAGAGCUCUUUCCCUCGCUCUCCGUCUCUAGCUCGCUCGCUUUUCAGUCAGGGUAGGUGGAGCAGGAGAGACCAGACCUAUACGGCCUCACGUUAACCUGAGGAAUUACACGGGACAGCGGCGGCAUUUCACAGCUUGCCUCUAGUCUCUCUCUCCUCCUACACACUCGGACCCUGCUGGAACGCCGAGUCCACGUCCAAAAGACCGAAAACUCGAUACACCCGGGAAAACAAAUCCUCAGACCCGGUUAAUAAAAAAUGCGUGGUCGUUUAGGACACGCCGGUGUUCCUCAAACCCGGAUUUACAUUUGCAGGCUUUGUCAGAUGCUUUUAGAAGUGCUUUGUAGUUUCUAACCAAAACUUUAAAAAAAUUGUAACUCCAAACCCUGUUAGAGAAGAGUUAGGAUUUUUUUGUGCUUAUUUAAAUUUGUGAUUUUUUUUUUUUAAAUGUAAUGCUUUUUCAACUAAGAUGCUUUAACUCUAAAACUAGGCUGAACGGUUUAUGUGCUUUACAAGGGGACACAUAGGAUUUAAUAAUAAACUUCUUGUUGACGGAGACUAACUGUUCCUAUCAAACGUACAGAAUUAAUUCAAGGGGAAUUUGGAUAAAUGUGAAUGAAAAUGAGAGGAAAAUUGGAAGCAUGUUAGUUGGGAAUCCAGCUUUUACCUGCUCAAAUAUUGUAUACGCAGAAUAUAAACAAGCAAGAUGGGCGCUCGCAGACUGAGAGCACGUGUCUGAUAUAAAUCCCGUGAGAGAGUUCACAGUGAACAGACGACCGAAUCCUAGUGGCUGAAGACAAAUUGAGGGCCGUGAUCCCUGACUUAUCGUGACUAGUGCAAUGCACAUAAGGAUUCAGACCUUACCACGUGAGACUUUACACCAGUGUUUCACCUGCUGAUCCAAAUCAUCCCACAAGUUUGCUGCGACUUCCAGUGGUCUCAGUGUUCAAUAACGCUCGCUAAACAUACAGAUUUGUCUCCAUACGCCAUGCUCGCCACGCCAUCGUCAUCCUAUAAUAUGGAAGAGUCUGGACCCGAAGCUCAAAAUAAUAAGAAUAAUAAUAAUAAAAUAAAAGUACAACAAACUGAAGGUUUGCCUUUAUGCUAAAUUAACUACUGAAGAAAAAGAAAAACAGAAAUAAUCCCAGAAAGAAAGAAUCGCAGAAAGAAAGAGCCACAGAAAGAAACCCAGAAAGACAGAGUCCCAGAAAGAAGAAUCCCAGAAAGAAAGAAAGAGCUACAGAAAGAAAGAAUCCCAGAAAGAAGAAGAAAGAAGCUACAGAAGAAAGAAAGAGCUACAGAAAGAAAGAAUCCCAGAAAGACAGAAAGAAAGAAAGAAUCCCAGAAAGAAAGAAAGAAUCCCAGAAAGAAAGAAAGAAUCCCAGAAAGAAAAUAAGAGCCACAGAAAGAAAGAAAGAAUCCCAGAAGAAAGAAUCCCAGAAAGAAGAAAGAAAGAAAGAAUCCCAGAAAGAAAAGAAUCCCAG
Long non-coding RNA from Ictalurus punctatus (channel catfish), 1909 nucleotides. The record is from Ensembl. Lineage: Eukaryota; Metazoa; Chordata; Actinopteri; Siluriformes; Ictaluridae.